CCUACGGGAGGCAGCAGUGGGGAAUAUUGGACAAUGGGCGGAAGCCUGAUCCAGCAACGCCGCGUGAGGGAUGACGGCCUUCGGGUUGUAAACCUCUUUCAGCACAGACGAAGCGCAAGUGACGGUAUGUGCAGAAGAAGGACCGGCCAACUACGUGCCAGCAGCCGCGGUAAUACGUAGGGUCCGAGCGUUGUCCGGAAUUAUUGGGCGUAAAGGGCUCGUAGGCGGUUUGUCGCGUCGGGAGUGAAAACACCGGGCUUAACUCGGUGCUUGCUUUCGAUACGGGCAGACUAGAGGCAUUCAGGGGAGAACGGAAUUCCUGGUGUAGCGGUGAAAUGCGCAGAUAUCAGGAGGAACACCGGUGGCGAAGGCGGUUCUCUGGGAAUGUCCUGACGCUGAGGAGCGAAAGUGUGGGGAGCGAACAGGAUUAGAUACCCUGGUAGUCCACACCGUAAACGUUGGGCGCUAGGUGUGGGAUCCAUUCCACGGGUUCCGUGCCGCAGCUAACGCAUUAAGCGCCCCGCCUGGGGAGUACGGCCGCAAGGCUAAAACUCAAAGGAAUUGACGG
Molecule: ribosomal RNA, 568 nt
Filed under: actinobacterium ICS20411
Lineage: Bacteria; Bacillati; Actinomycetota; Actinomycetes
Description: bacterial SSU rRNA
Rfam family: Bacterial small subunit ribosomal RNA
Source: RNAcentral